This 1137-nucleotide ribosomal RNA is filed under the name uncultured Enterobacter sp. RNAcentral's name for it is "bacterial SSU rRNA". It matches the Rfam family "Bacterial small subunit ribosomal RNA", at positions 222 to 1350 of the family's 1533-position model. Lineage: Bacteria; Pseudomonadati; Pseudomonadota; Gammaproteobacteria; Enterobacterales; Enterobacteriaceae. The record is from RNAcentral.
CAGAUGUGCCCAGAUGGGAUUAGCUAGUAGGUGGGGUAACGGCUCACCUAGGCGACGAUCCCUAGCUGGUCUGAGAGGAUGACCAGCCACACUGGAACUGAGACACGGUCCAGACUCCUACGGGAGGCAGCAGUGGGGAAUAUUGCACAAUGGGCGCAAGCCUGAUGCAGCCAUGCCGCGUGUAUGAAGAAGGCCUUCGGGUUGUAAAGUACUUUCAGCGGGGAGGAAGGUGUUGAGGUUAAUAACCUCAGCAAUUGACGUUACCCGCAGAAGAAGCACCGGCUAACUCCGUGCCAGCAGCCGCGGUAAUACGGAGGGUGCAAGCGUUAAUCGGAAUUACUGGGCGUAAAGCGCACGCAGGCGGUCUGUCAAGUCGGAUGUGAAAUCCCCGGGCUCAACCUGGGAACUGCAUUCGAAACUGGCAGGCUAGAGUCUUGUAGAGGGGGGUAGAAUUCCAGGUGUAGCGGUGAAAUGCGUAGAGAUCUGGAGGAAUACCGGUGGCGAAGGCGGCCCCCUGGACAAAGACUGACGCUCAGGUGCGAAAGCGUGGGGAGCAAANAGGAAAAGAUACCCUGGUAGUCCACGCCGUAAACGAUGUCGACUUGGAGGUUGUGCCCUUGAGGCGUGGCUUCCGGAGCUAACGCGUUAAGUCGACCGCCUGGGGAGUACGGCCGCAAGGUUAAAACUCAAAUGAAUUGACGGGGGCCCGCACAAGCGGUGGAGCAUGUGGUUUAAUUCGAUGCAACGCGAAGAACCUUACCUACUCUUGACAUCCAGAGAACUUUCCAGAGAUGGAUUGGUGCCUUCGGGAACUCUGAGACAGGUGCUGCAUGGCUGUCGUCAGCUCGUGUUGUGAAAUGUUGGGUUAAGUCCCGCAACGAGCGCAACCCUUAUCCUUUGUUGCCAGCGGUCCGGCCGGGAACUCAAAGGAGACUGCCAGUGAUAAACUGGAGGAAGGUGGGGAUGACGUCAAGUCAUCAUGGGCCCUUACGAGUAGGGCUACACACGUGCUACAAUGGCGCAUACAAAGAGAAGCGACCCUCGCGAGAGCAAGCGGACCUCAUAAAGUGCGUCGUAGUCCGGAUUGGAGUCUGCAACUCGACUCCAUGAAGUCGGAAUCGCUAGUAAUCGUAGAUC